GAGGAGAGGCAGGAGAAAAUACGGCGCGCUCGGCAUCGUCCUUCUGACCGGGGACUCCAGCAUCUCAGUCAUCGCGUCACCAAGCCCCACGUGCAGGUUCUGGCAUCCAUCAUGGCAAACUGGAGACCGCGAUGGAGUCUUAUUCUGUCACCCUGGCUGGAGUGCAGUGGCUCACUGCAACGAUCUUGGCUCACUGCAACCUCCGCCUGCCAGGUUCAAGGGAUUCUUCUACUUCAGCCUCCCAAGUAGCUGAGAUUACAGGCGCACACCAACACGCCCAGCUAAUUUUUUUUUUUUUUUUGAGAAGGAGUCUUGCUCUGUCGCUCAGGCUGGAGUGCAGUGUCGUGAUCUUGGCUCACUGCAACCUCUGCCUCCUGGGUUCAAGAGAUUCUCCCGCCUCAGCCUCCUGAGUAGCUGGGAUUACAGGUGCUCACCACCAUGCCCAGCAAUUUUUUUUUUUGUAUUUUUUUAGAGACGAGGUUUCACGCUGUUGGUCAGGCUGGUCACGAACUCCCGAUCUCAUGAUCCACCCACCUCGGCCUCCCAAAGUGCUGGGAUUACAGGCGUGAGCCAUCAUGCCUGGCCUAAUUUUUGUAUUUUUAGUAGAGAUGGGGUUUCACCAUGGUGGCCAGGCUGGUCUCAAACUCCUGACCUCAGGUGAUCCCCCUGCCUUGGCCUCCCAAAGUGCUGGAAUUGCAGGUGUGAGCCACCGCGCCCAGCCUAAUUUUUUGUGAUUUU
Molecule: long non-coding RNA, 738 nt
Filed under: Homo sapiens (human)
Lineage: Eukaryota; Metazoa; Chordata; Mammalia; Primates; Hominidae
Description: HSALNT0363711
Source: RNAcentral